Molecule: long non-coding RNA, 1960 nt
Filed under: Macaca fascicularis (crab-eating macaque)
Lineage: Eukaryota; Metazoa; Chordata; Mammalia; Primates; Cercopithecidae
Description: lncRNA (ENSMFAG00000024306.2)
Source: RNAcentral
AAUAUAGCCAAGUAUUCCAUUUAUUAACAAAAUAAGUCUUACCAAGGGAGAGCUCUGUUCGUCUCAAACAGGCCCCGCAGCCCCCGCGCUGCCGCAUCAGACCAGAAGGAGGGAGGAGUGGGGAGAAGACCCCAGUCGCUGCGGGGUCUACUCUGGGGUGCUCUGCCGGGCCAGGCCUAGGAGAGGGCGGGGGCUGCCGUGAUUCGAGCGCUCCCCGACGCCCCAAGCUUCCCCGAACGCAGCUAACGAGCUCGUGACGUCCGCUGACAUCGCCACCGGUCUGCUUUGGAGGGAUCUAGCGAGAGUCACCCACCCCACCCCUACCGCCAGGGGUGGGGUCGUUGCCCCCACGAGGGAGAGAAAAACAAGGACUAUAAAGCACUUCGCAAAAUGUAAGGGGCCGGCUUCACGCCAGCAGGGCCUUCUGGGACUUUGAAUUCAACCAGGUGAGCGCUCCAGGUGCCCCGACAGGCGCACUGUGGCCACUGGGUGUUAGGGGCGGGAGUCUGGAAGGUGACGGUAGACGACAAGGCUCUGUGAGACCACUUGGGCCUCUCUGGGGGCGAGCCUGCUGGUGGGGUCAGGACUCUCCGUGCUCAGAGCAAGGUAGGGGAGCAAGGCCCUACGUUUGGGGGGCAGGGUCCAGACCAAGGACCCUAUGCGUGGAGGGUGGCGGGGGAGGAGUCCCGGAGCAGUGUACUAGGUCAAUAGAGCUCCAGGGCCCCUGCCACCCAGGUGGCUCCCUCCACCCCCAAAAUGAGUUACAAAAAAAAUCUCCUCUCUGUUACUUGUACAACAAAGGAAACAAAACAAAACAACAACAAAAAAACAAAAACAGAACAUGAAAUGGAAGGAAACAAGAGGGAAUGAAGGGGGAAGAGGGAAAAAGAGAAGGGGGAAACGUAGUUUUAAGUUAAGACUCAUGCAAGAAACUCCCCAGGAAGGGAAAACAAAACGUCUAGAAGAACCCAAAGACCCCAACUCUCCCUCCUCUCCCUAAAACCAAACCAAUCAAAAACCAAAAAAAGAGGAAAAGGAAUAAAAAAUGUAAAACUUACAUCUAAGAAAAAGAAAAUAACAGAAAGGAAGAGGGGCGGGGAUCAUGUCGUUAUUUGUGGGAUUAAUAUUAUUAUUUGGGGGAACACAGACUUUUUGCAUACCACUGACUCAUGUGGGCCGUUAAUGCACUUAUAUUCCCAGCUUGUAAGCUAACAUUAUAGUAAAUAAAUACACAGUCCGGUGGGGAAGGGUUGGGUGGGGAAUCCCGGCAGGGUCAAGCAGUAGUGGAGGUUGCAGCGGCGACGGCAGGUGGGGAGAGGGGAGGGAGAGGGAGGAGGGUGAGGGGGCUGGGGUGGAGGAAAGAGCUGUAGUUACUGGUAUCCCAGCGCCGAGGCUGAAGCUAGUCUCUGUCCAUACAGCGCGUAUGGCGAGUAGUAGGGUCCGGCUGUGGGGAGGGACGGCACGGCCAGGCCCCCCGCUGUGGAUAAGUGGCUCUUGCCAUAGGGGUGGUACCGGCUUAGCCCCAAAGUGUGUGGACUCCGCAAGGACAGCGACCCGGGGCUGCCGGGGGGGCGGCCGGGCGGGAGGUGCAGAUGGCAGGAGGCGGCGGCGAGCGGCGGCGGCGCUGCCCAGGCCCGAGGCCCGGGUGGCGGCCAGAAGCGGUGGGUCCGUGGUGGCUGAGCAGCUCCGAGGUGGCGGCUUGUCGCGACGCCGCUGGCCGCCACCCAGUUGCAGCCAGCGGCAGCGGUUCGUUCUGCAGCAUGAAGCCGUGGGUGUAGAGAGGGUGGCCGGGGAGCUGGCCUGGGCGGCGCUGGACGACAGCGCGGGCGGGCUGCAGCGGGUGCCCGGGGUACACCAGCGGGUAGCCCCCCGCCUUCAGGCUGGGCCCGGCUGGGUCGUGCGCACUGCAGGUGGAGCAGCUGGAGCCGCCGAGGUGCGAGGCGCUGUGGUAACCUCCCAG